GGGGCCUGAGAUCGGAUGAAGCGCACAGCCACGAUUUGGGUUACACACUUGAAAAUCAGGGGGCUUCCAUAUUUCAGUCUUGAGUUCGGUCUCCCUGGGAAGGUGGGGCCACCAGCCCCAUGCCCCCGUUGCACGGAUCAGCUGGAGCAGAAUCCCGGCUUCCCUCCGGAUGGGCCUGGGUCCAUGCCCGCGCUCACUGCCCAGAUCUCUCUGGCUCUUACGGACACGAGUUUGCGACCUCUGAGUCACUGGGUGGGCUCGUCGAAAAGACCCGGGCGUCUCACUCUGGAGCUCACAGUCGUACGGAGAAGACAGGACCAGCCGAGGAGGAGGGCGGCGCGUGCGAGGGUCGCCUUCUUCCCAGGGCACCGGGGGCGUGGGUGCUGCGGGAGCGCGCCGAAAGGGCAGCCUUGGAAGCGGGCGCAGCUUCGGCAGACACAGGGCUGAGGGGCUGCGGAGCUCGGGGGCCGGAGCCAGGCUGCAGGGCACGGCCUCGCCCGUUGCCCCUCCUUGCUUCUGCGGGAGGUGGGCGCGCCCAAGACGGAACCUGGGGCGUCAGAACGAAAAGCAGCGGCGCCGCGCUUCCCGGCCGGACAGCCUCCAGCGCAGCGCCCCGGCCGGAAGCCUUCUCGCCGCCGCUUCCUCUCGAGAAGGCGUGCGGCGGGCUGUCUGGCCCGCAGGGCUGGCAAGCCCGCGGCGCCAUGGCUCACGUCGGCUCCCGCAGGCGCUCGAGGAGUCGUAGCCGGUCCCGGGACGGGGGUCGGAAAAAAGAAAGAAGAGCAGGAAGGACGCCUCCGCAUCCCAAGGUUGCAAGGCCAGCACGGCCCUCGGGGCGGAGGAGAGAAGCAAGCACAAGGCCCGGAGGAGACCACGAUCCAGCUUCUCCUCCUCCUCUUCCAGUUCUUCUAGCUCCUCUUCUUCCUCCUCGUCCUCCUCUUCCUCCAGUGAUGGCCGGAAGAAGCGGGGGAAGUACAAGGACAAGAAGAGGAAGAAGAAAAAGAAGAGGAAGAAGCUGAAGAAGAAGGGCAAGGAGAAGGUGGAAGCACAGCAGGUGGAGGCUCUGCCGGGCCCCUCGCUGGACCAGUGGCACCGAUCAGCUGGGGAGGAAGAGGAUGGCCCAGUCCUGACGGAUGAGCAGAAGUCCCGAAUCCAGGCCGUGAAGCCCAUGACCAAGGAGGAGUGGGAUGCCCGGCAGAGCAUAAUCCGCAAGGUGGUGGACCCCGAGACGGGGCGCACCAGGCUAAUUAAGGGAGAUGGUGAGGUCCUAGAGGAAAUGUAACCAAAGAACGACACAGAGAGAUCAACAAGCAAGCUACCCGAGGGGACGGCCUGGCCUUCCAGAUGCGAGCUGGGUUGCUUCCCUGAGGGCCCUGGCUGGCCAAGGCCUGUGGACAGUGCUGGCGACCCGGCCUGGGCAGGCUUCAGGGUGCCAGUGGGAAGCCUGAUGGGUGCUGGUGGCCUUUCCCCCAUGGAUUGGCCUCUGGCCCAGCCCAGCCUCUUCUCAGGGGCAGGGGGUGGAGGAUGGGGUCACCGGCCUGCUCGGCACCCCCAUCUGAAGCAGCAACACUUCUUAGCUAUUAAAGGUUCUCUGGUUAGA
Molecule: RNA transcript, 1597 nt
Organism: Rhinopithecus roxellana (golden snub-nosed monkey)
Lineage: Eukaryota; Metazoa; Chordata; Mammalia; Primates; Cercopithecidae
Gene name: ADP-ribosylation factor-like protein 6-interacting protein 4
Exons: 6
Source: RefSeq, a predicted model, not a curated record